GUUCCCCUGACGACUGUUUAUCAAAAACACAGGUUCCUGCUUAACUCGAAAGAGGAUGUAUAGGAACUGAAGCCUGACCAGUGCUGGAAGGUCAAGCUUGCCGGUCCGUCUUUGACGGGCUGAGUGAGUGAAGCCUCAGUAAACGUCGGCGGUAAGAUAAUAGUUGCCGCCCUUGAGAGGAAACUUUCAAGAAAAAAACUCGACCAUAUGCUGGAAACACCGCGCAUAUUGAAAUACUCGCUGUUGACUAUAUAAUUAAUCAAUGGCAGUAACAAAGUUCAAUCGAAGCGGUCAAUCAGCAGGAAAGACUUCUAAUAAAGGUCUCGGGUAUUAUUUGAGUGGUUUUGCAGAUGGUGAAGGAAGCUUUAAUGUUUCCCUUAUUAAUCGAAAACAAGAUUAUCGACACGGAUGGAAAGUCAGUCCGUCAUUCAAUGUAUCUCAGAAAGAUGACACUAUUCCACAUAUCUUUAAAAAUUAUUUAGAGUGUGGGAAGAUAAGAUACAGGAAAGACGGAGUUUGUUACUUUGAAGUUCGGAGUAUUGAAGAGCUAACUCAAAUUGUUAUUCCCUUUUUUAGGGAGUAUCCCUUAAGAUCAAAGAGUAAACGAGAUGUGUUUGAAAAGUUUUGCAAAAUUAUGCAAAUAAUAGAAAACAAAGACCAUCUUAAAAAAAGAGGAAUCAAGAAGAUACUCGAAAUAAGAGAAAGUAUUGAAGUUGGUAGAGAAAGAAAAUAUACGAAAGAAGAAAUACUCAAAACUUAUUAGAAGAAUCCUCAGAGACUAUACGUCGAGCCCCUUUCUAAAAAGGGUGAAGAUAUAGUCCAAGCCUUAUGGCGACAUAGGGAAUUAGGUUAUGAACUAUAACCGUCUUAAAGUAGCGUAAUCCCUUGCCGGGUAAGUUCCGGCCCGCACGAACGGCUUAACGAUUGGGGGGCUGUCUCGACGAGGCGCCCAGUGAAAAUGCAAUACCGGUAAAGAUGCCGGUUACCUGUGGCAAGACGAAAAGACCCCGGGAGCUUUACUGUAUCCUGAUAUUGGGUCCUGGGUCUAACUGUAUAGCGUAGGUGGUAGGCUUUGACGCUCGGUCGCCAGACUGGGUCGAGCCGCCCAUGAAACACCACCCUUUUAGGUCCUUGAUUCUAACCUCUAUUAACCAUAGCUGGAACAGUGUCAGGUGGUCAGUUUGAGUGGGGCGCUCUUCUCCUAAAUUGUAACGGAGAAGUCUACAAGGUCGGCUAACUCCGGAUGGAAAUCGGAGUGAUAGCACAAAGGCAUAAGCCGGCUUAACUGCAAGGCGGAUAAGCCGCGCAGGUACGAAAGUAGAGCUUAGUGAACCGACGUGUUUUCGUAGAACACUCGGAGAUCAUCAGAUAAAAGUUACCCCGGGGAUAACAGGCUGGUAGGAUCCGCGAGUCCACAUCAACGAUCCUGUUCGGCACCUCGAUGUCGGCUCAUCACAUCCUGGGGGUGUAACCGCUCCCAAGGGUAUGGCUGUUCGCCAUUUAAAGUGGUACGUGAGCUGGGUUCAGACCGUCGUGAGACAGGUCGGUCUCUAUCUGCCACAGGCGUAGAAUCUUGAAGGGAGUCGUCCCUAGUACGAGAGGACCGGGAUGAACGAACCUCUGGUUUACCGGUUGUUCCGCCAGGAGCACUGCCGGGUAGCUAAGUUCGGAACGGAUAAGCGCUGAAAGCAUCUAAGCGCGAAGCCGACCCUAAGAUUAGGAUUCAUAGAUACCUUAGAGAUGAUAAGGUUGAUAGGCUGCAGGUGUAAGCGUCGUAAGGCGUUCAGCCGAGCAGUACUAAUUUAUCAUUACGCAUUUUUUG
Molecule: ribosomal RNA, 1822 nt
Filed under: Candidatus Nealsoniibacteriota bacterium
Lineage: Bacteria; Candidatus Nealsoniibacteriota
Description: bacterial LSU rRNA
Rfam family: Bacterial large subunit ribosomal RNA
Source: RNAcentral